AACGAACGCUGGCGGCAUGCCUAACACAUGCAAGUCGAACGAGACCUUUGGGUCUAGUGGCGCACGGGUGCGUAACGCGUGGGAACCUGCCCUUAGGUUCGGAAUAACUCCCCGACAGGGGUGCUAAUACCGGAUAAUGUCUUCGGACCAAAGAUUGAUCGCCUUUGGAUGGGCCCGCGUUGGAUUAGCUAGUUGGUAGGGUAAAAGCCUACCAAGGCGACGAUCCAUAGCUGGUCUGAGAGGAUGGUCAGCCACACUGGGACAGGGACCAGGCCCAGACUCUUGCGGAGGGGAGCAAUGGGGAUUAAGGGAUAAUGGGCGGAAGCCGAAGCCCGCAAGGCGGUGUAGGUGAUGAGGGGCUAAGGUUUAGAAGCCGGUUAUUCCCGGGAUGUUAAGACGAUACCCGGAGAAUAAGCCCCGGGCAAACUCGGG
This 432-nucleotide ribosomal RNA is filed under the name uncultured bacterium. Its description in RNAcentral is "partial 16S ribosomal RNA". It matches the Rfam family "Bacterial small subunit ribosomal RNA", at positions 29 to 507 of the family's 1533-position model. The record is from RNAcentral.